GAGGGAUGUGGUAUUUGUAGGGCAUGCGCUUGGAACAAUAGAGCCAUCAAAAGGCCUUCUCCCUGGUCUCCUCCCAAGGCAGCUAGGCUCUUCUCCCCUCUUUCGGAAAGGCCGUGGCCCAACAGGUCCUCUUGGCCUGAUUUUAGGCCUGCUUUCCCAGUAAAAACACUUCAUCUGUUCUCCACAAAUCCUAAUUUAAAGUCUCCUCCUUGGACUCUUACUGAUGUAAACAUCCCAUUUUCAUUAUUUUCCAGAUAUUAUUCUUCCAUAAAUUGAUCCAGACUACCAUAGGAACCAGUCAAGAUAUUUUGCCACAGGAUCUAGGACAAGAGGAUUUACCUACUAUUGCCCACCUUGCAAAUCUCCUAGGGACCUUUCACCUGCUUCUGCUACUGCAAAUGAUUGGACAUCCAUUUACAUUUCCUCUUCUUCAUGUGUGGAAGGAAACUUUUGUUCACUGUGCUUCAGGCUGCCCCUGGCCUGAAAGUGGGUCCUUGAAUUCCCCUUGUACCAUUCCAACUUGCCAAGGUGGUUAUGAGACCUGAGGGAGGUGUUUAGGCGUGGACUUUGGGCCAGGUGUGUAAAUCCAUUUGGUACCAACUUUGGGCCCCAAGGAUAAGGGCAUGUGUAGCUGCACCAGAAGAGAGGGGAACAGUGAAAACUAAAAUUUCACCCUCUGUGAUGAUCUUCACCACCACCAGUACCAACAAUGUUGUAAGUACAGAGGAUUCACCUACCCAGUCGUUUUUCCUCUCCAUCCGGGCCCUCUGCAAGAGUGAGCCAGUGCUCAGAGAUGGUGGAGGGUAUGGCUGGUGACUCAGUCUCAACUGUGUCUCAACUGUGUCCAAAGUGUCUAGGGAGAAGUCUGCUCACCGGUAGCUAUAUCCUCUCUGGGAAGGCACAGUGCCCUAAAGUGGUGAGGCUGUAGGCCUGUGGGAACUGGGGCCUCCUGCCCCUCUUUUUAUUUUUAUUUAAUACUCACAAACUUCUCUUCAUUCCCCCCCUUUUUUUCCCUUACAGUUUCUGAAAGAAGGACGGAAGUAACACCAAGAACUCCCAGAUGAAGAGGACCUUCCUGGAUCUGUAACUGGGAUUAACCAGUUCUUUACUGGGAGAGAAAGUUUCAACUAAUCCUCAGGAUAAAAGCAAACAGGCCUGUGACUGUCCCUUGAACACUGACAGUGUAAACAAGCUUCUGGCUCCUCCAGGUCAAGCAGAGCAACACUUUUCAUUAGAAUGUUGGGU
RNAcentral lists this long non-coding RNA (1245 nucleotides) under Lynx pardinus (Iberian lynx). The record is from RNAcentral. Lineage: Eukaryota; Metazoa; Chordata; Mammalia; Carnivora; Felidae.